This 29-nucleotide non-coding RNA is filed under the name Rattus norvegicus (Norway rat). The record is from RNAcentral. Lineage: Eukaryota; Metazoa; Chordata; Mammalia; Rodentia; Muridae.
UUCCUCAGAAUAAUGCCCAUUUCCUUAUG